Molecule: ribosomal RNA, 434 nt
Filed under: uncultured bacterium
Lineage: Bacteria
Description: bacterial SSU rRNA
Rfam family: Bacterial small subunit ribosomal RNA
Source: RNAcentral
AACGAACGCUGGCGGCAUGCCUAACACAUGCAAGUCGAACGAAGCCUUCGGGCUUAGUGGCGCACGGGUGCGUAACACGUGGGAAUCUACCCUUCGGUUCGGAAUAACAGUUAGAAAUGACUGCUAAUACCGGAUGAUGACGUAAGUCCAAAGAUUUAUCGCCGAAGGAUGAGCCCGCGUAGGAUUAGGUAGUUGGUAGGGUAAUGGCCUACCAAGCCGACGAUCCUUAGCUGGUCUGAGAGGAUGAUCAGCCACACUGGGACUGAGACACGGCCCAGACUCCUUACGGGGGGCAGCAGUGGGGAACAUUGGACAAUGGGCGAAAGCCUGAUCCAGCAAUGCCGCGUGAGUGAUGAAGGCCUUAGGGUUGUAAAGCUCUUUUACCAGGGAUGAUAAUGACAGUACCUGGAGAAUAAGCUCCGGCUAACUCCGUG